CACUUUUUGUACCAAUUCAUCAAAAUCCGGUUCUUUUGGAUCCAAAAACAACAAAAGAUCUUGAACCCACUUUUCCAAUACCUGCAAACUAUCACUGGAAUCCCCUCCCUUGACCUNCUGGAAUCCCCUCCCUUAAGCUGCAACCUAUCCUUAAUUAAUUGUACAAUCACACUAGUCCCUUUCCCCAAAGUCGCCUUUUUCUUCUUCUUCUCACCCUUCUUUACCACCUUCUCAUCCCUCCCGUUCUCUCCAAUUUCUUCAACACCCUUUGCACUCAUCAAUUCUCCACCUUCAAGUGCAACAAAAGCUGUUAUCCCCUCCCAGGCAACAAUACUCCACACGGUGCCCAAUAAUGCAUUCACUUCAUGCACAAAUUUCCAAGUGUCUUCCUCAAAGUCCGAAUCCAAUACCAGCCUAUAAGCAUUUCUUAACACAUUCUCAUUGGGGCAUUUCUUCUCAAACAUGCUUAGCAAACCAGUUUUCAGACUUUCAUUACCCACUGCAUCUAAAUUAGCUUUGGCCCGACAAAAGCUACAUUCUGAAGAGCUGCAGACAAUGCUAACACCGCCGGGAUGGCAUCACCCUCAUAGACUUCCUCACGGGAAUUCAAUGAGACACGCGUCACAGAAUGCACUGAUUUCACCACCUCCCUCAAUCUCCCAUUAAUUUUGGGAAUCUUAGAAAAGGAUUCACUCUGAACCUUACCAACAAGCUUAGACCCAUUAAGCAACAACUUCAUGUCUCCAGCAACACCAAUCCCCUCCUUGUNCAACACCAAUCCCCUCCUUGCCAACGAAGCCAUCUCCAGUGUCCAGGGAACUAAACGCGGCCACGUCAGCCUUCGCCGCCUCACACGACAAAGCAGCCACUGCAUCCACAACUGAAGCCAAAGCCGUGGAUUCAUGGUCCAAAAUCGAACAAACGCCGUAGACAUGAGCAGAUGAUUUCUCUAUUACGAGGCGUUCCUCUUCAGUCACUUCAAUGGAGUUAAAACUCCCAUUCUCAAAUUUCGAAUUAAGGGUUU
RNAcentral lists this unclassified non-coding RNA (1024 nucleotides) under Hevea brasiliensis (rubber tree). Lineage: Eukaryota; Viridiplantae; Streptophyta; Magnoliopsida; Malpighiales; Euphorbiaceae. The record is from RNAcentral.